This 76-nucleotide transfer RNA is filed under the name Rhizoctonia solani AG-1 IB. RNAcentral describes it as "tRNA-Ile". It matches the Rfam family "tRNA". Rfam says of the family: Transfer RNA (tRNA) molecules are approximately 80 nucleotides in length. Their secondary structure includes four short double-helical elements and three loops (D, anti-codon, and T loops). Further hydrogen bonds mediate the characteristic L-shaped molecular structure. tRNAs have two regions of fundamental functional importance: the anti-codon, which is responsible for specific mRNA codon recognition, and the 3' end, to which the tRNAs corresponding amino acid is attached (by aminoacyl-tRNA synthetases). tRNAs cope with the degeneracy of the genetic code in two manners: having more than one tRNA (with a specific anti-codon) for a particular amino acid; and 'wobble' base-pairing, i.e. permitting non-standard base-pairing at the 3rd anti-codon position. The record is from RNAcentral. Lineage: Eukaryota; Fungi; Basidiomycota; Agaricomycetes; Cantharellales; Ceratobasidiaceae.
GGUUGGCUAGCUCAGUUGGUUAGAGCGUCGAGCUAAUACAACUCGAAGGUCAUGGGUUCGACCCCCCUGCUGACCA